Molecule: long non-coding RNA, 1438 nt
Filed under: Mus musculus (house mouse)
Lineage: Eukaryota; Metazoa; Chordata; Mammalia; Rodentia; Muridae
Description: long non-coding RNA chr3:40924252-40925690
Source: RNAcentral
UUCUUUUUUUUUUUCAUUUUAUUUAUUUAUUUAUUUAUUUUUUCCAUUUUUUAUUAGGUAUUUAGCUCAUUUACAUUUCCAAUGCUAUACCAAAAGUCCCCCAUACCCACCCACCCCCUAUCCCCUACCCACCCACUCCCCCUUUUUGGCCCUGGCGUUCCCCUGUACUGGGGCAUAUAAAGUUUGCGUGUCCAAUGGGCCUCUCUUUCCAGUGAUGGCCGACUAGGCCAUCUUUUGAUACAUAUGCAGCUAGAGUCAAGAGCUCCGGGGUACUGGUUAGUUCAUAAUGUUGUUCCGCCUAUAGGGUUGCAGAUCCCUUUAGCUCCUUGGGUACUUUCUCUAGCUCCUCCAUUGGGAGCCCUGUGAUCCAUCCAUUAGCUGACUGUGAGCAUCCACUUCUGUGUUUGCUAGGCCCUGGCAUAGUCUCACAAGAGACAGCUACAUCUGGGUCCUUUCGAUAAAAUCUUGCUAGUGUAUGCAAUGGUGUCAGCGUUUGGAUGCUGAUUAUGGGGUGGAUCCCUGGAUAUGGAAGUCUCUACAUGGACCAUCCUUUCAUCUCAGCUCCAAACUUUGUCUCUGUAACUCCUUCCAAGGGUGUUUUGUUCCCACUUCUAAGGAGGGGCAUAGUGUCCACACUUCAGUCUUCAUUUUUCUUGAGUUUCAUGUGUUUAGGAAAUUGUAUCUUAUAUCUUGGAAAGUAUAUCCUUGCUUUUGCUAUCGGUUAGAAGAAAAAUGAACUGGAAGAUACUUUUAUCUUUUUUUAGUGCAUAUUAGCUGUCCAAGAUAUUUUGUGACAUUUCAUUAUGCAUAGAAUGUAAUUUGAUAAUGUGAUAAUGUUCACUUUAUUUAUUACCUUUCUCCAUCCCCAAUACCACGAAUGUAUGCUUUGUCUGUUAGGAUACAUUGAACAGACUCUUUUUGUUUGUUUGUUUGUUUUCGAGACAGGGUUUCUCUGGUUAGCCCUGGCUGUCCUUGAACUCACUCUGUAGACCAGGCUGGCCUCAAACUCAGAAAUUCGCCUGCCUCUGCCUCCCAAGUGCUGGGAUUAAAGGCAUGCACCACCACUGCCUGGCUUUGAACAGACUCUUAAUUGGUUUCUCUGUGCCAAGUCUUUUCUUUCUUUCAUUUUUUUAUUAUUGAAAAAAGAAUUUUUUAUACAAUAUAUUCUGAUUAUAUUUUUUCCCUCUUCCAUUUCCUCCCAGAUCCCUACUACCUUCAUACCCAUCCAGUGUAUACCAUUUAUCUUUCUCUGAAAAACAAGAAAACCAGGUGAUAGCCAGCAGUAGUGGCACACACACACCUUUGGUACCAGCAGUCCAGGAGGCAGAGGCAGGUGAAUCUCUGAGUUCAUAGCCUGCCUGGUCUACAGAGUGAGGUCCAGGACAGGACAGCCAAGGCUACACAGAGGAAUCCCUGUCUCAAAUAAACAAACAAAACC